Long non-coding RNA from Bubalus bubalis (water buffalo), 843 nucleotides. RefSeq lists it as uncharacterized. The record is from RefSeq and is a predicted model, not a curated record. NCBI's taxonomy places the organism in Eukaryota, Metazoa, Chordata, Mammalia, Artiodactyla, Bovidae. The transcript is spliced from 2 exons.
CCUGGGGAGGCUGUUUGAUGAGCCAAGGUUUCCUUUAAGAGGCUCUUCCCCUCCUGGUCUGAGGAUUCCCCAGGUACAGCCUCCUGCAACCAGGUGAAAUCACUGCCAAACCAUGUCAAGUGCCUCCUCUCAACACAGUCUGCUUUGACAGAGGCUUAAUAAACCAGAGUGACUUAGCUGCUCUAAUCUCUGCUUCUAAGUCAUUCUAUCUACUCCAUUAAUCACCUCUAUCGACACUCCUCCAGGUCUCCAGAGAGGUUCCACUUCUUUCUGGUAAUGGGCUUCUCCAGACUGCAGACCAGACUUUCAACUUCAGGACUCCCAUCUCUGGCUCUCAUCCAAGUCCUGUAAAGGCAAAGUCCUGCAUCCCGGGAGUCCCCACCCAAUGCUCCUCCACACCGUGGGGGACGGGAGGGUCAGGCAAGGUCAUCAGCCACUCUGAGGCAGCCCAUUCAGCACAGAAGGCAUUUCAUGUGGCACGUGAAUGGUCCUUGUCCUGAUGUUCACCUCCAAAUAAGCAAAAGCCUCUGCAACUGAAGCCUCUGCAAAAUCCCAUGGGGCUUAAGCCCAGCUGAUACAGAAAGCGUCAUAACCCAGGUGUCCCAACACGGGGGGCAGAGUGCAGAAGGAGAACGAGGAUUGAGGUGACCCACGCUCCCUCACCAGUUGGCUGUGCGCCCCGAGACCAAGAACUGCAUCCUUCACCCUGCACGAGCCAGAUGGAGGAGCAGUGCCCUUCAGGCUUGGCACGAUGCAGCCACAGGGCCCAUCAUGCCCACCUGAGCAAAGCCAGUUGAAAAGGGCCACUCUUGCCCCUGAUCCAGCCGGGUCCUCUCUUACCAC